UGAUCCUGGCUCAGGAUGAACGCUGGCGGUAUGCUUAACACAUGCAAGUCGAACGGGAUGCUUAGGCAUCUAGUGGCGGACGGGUGAGUAACGCGUGAGAAUCUGGCUCCAGGUCGGGGAUAACAGUUGGAAACGACUGCUAAUACCGGAUGUGCCGAAAGGUGAAAGAUUUAUUGCCUGGAGAUGAGCUCGCGUCUGAUUAGCUAGUUGGUGGUGUAAGGGACCACCAAGGCGUCGAUCAGUAGCUGGUCUGAGAGGAUGAUCAGCCACACUGGGACUGAGACACGGCCCAGACUCCUACGGGAGGCAGCAGUGGGGAAUUUUCCGCAAUGGGCGAAAGCCUGACGGAGCAAUACCGCGUGAGGGAGGAAGGCUCUUGGGUCGUAAACCUCUUUUCUCAAGGAAGAAGAAAGUGACGGUACUUGAGGAAUAAGCAUCGGCUAACUCCGUGCCAGCAGCCGCGGUAAUACGGAGGAUGCAAGCGUUAUCCGGAAUGAUUGGGCGUAAAGGGUCUGCAGGUGGAACUGAAAGUCUGCUGUUAAAGAGUUUGGCUUAACCAAAUAAAAGCGGUGGAAACUACAGAACUAGAGUGCGGUAGGGGCAAAAGGAAUUCCUGGUGUAGCGGUGAAAUGCGUAGAUAUCAGGAAGAACACCGGUGGCGAAAGCGUUUUGCUAGACCGUAACUGACACUGAGGGACGAAAGCUAGGGGAGCGAAUGGGAUUAGAUACCCCAGUAGUCCUAGCCGUAAACGAUGGAUACUAGGCGUGGCUUGUAUCGACCCGAGCCGUGCCGGAGCUAACGCGUUAAGUAUCCCGCCUGGGGAGUACGCACGCAAGUGUGAAACUCAAAGGAAUUGACGGGGGCCCGCACAAGCGGUGGAGUAUGUGGUUUAAUUCGAUGCAACGCGAAGAACCUUACCAAGACUUGACAUCCUGCGAAUCCUGGUGAAAGCUGGGAGUGCCUUAGGGAGCGCAGAGACAGGUGGUGCAUGGCUGUCGUCAGCUCGUGUCGUGAGAUGUUGGGUUAAGUCCCGCAACGAGCGCAACCCUCGUUUUUAGUUGCCAGCAUUAAGUUGGGCACUCUAGAGAGACUGCCGGUGACAAACCGGAGGAAGGUGAGGAUGACGUCAAGUCAGCAUGCCCCUUACGUCUUGGGCUACACACGUACUACAAUGCUACGGACAGAGGGCAGCAAGCCAGGGAUGGCAAGCGAAUCCAGAAACCGUAGCUCAGUUCAGAUCGAAGGCUGCAACUCGCCUUCGUGAAGGAGGAAUCGCUAGUAAUUGCAGGUCAGCAUACUGCAGUGAAUUCGUUCCCGGGCCUUGUACACACCGCCCGUCACACCAUGGAAGUUGGUCACGCCCGAAGUCAUUACCCCAACCGAAAGGAGGGGGAUGCCUAAGGUAGGACUA
RNAcentral lists this ribosomal RNA (1412 nucleotides) under Cylindrospermopsis sp. CHAB3424. RNAcentral describes it as "bacterial SSU rRNA". It matches the Rfam family "Bacterial small subunit ribosomal RNA". Lineage: Bacteria; Bacillati; Cyanobacteriota; Cyanophyceae; Nostocales; Aphanizomenonaceae. The record is from RNAcentral.